UACAGAGGGUGCGAGCGUUGUCCGGAAUCACUGGGCGUAAAGGGCGCGUAGGUGGCUGGAGAAGCGUGUGGUGAAAGCCCGGGGCUCAACCCCGGGUCGGCCAUGCGAACUGUCCGGCUGGAGCACGGUAGAGGCCAAUGGAAUUCCGGGUGUAGCGGUGGAAUGCGUAGAGAUCCGGAAGAACACCGGUGGCGAAGGCGGCCUGCUGGGCAGUUGCUGACACUGAGGCGCGACAGCGUGGGGAGCAAACAGG
This 253-nucleotide ribosomal RNA is filed under the name uncultured bacterium. RNAcentral describes it as "partial 16S ribosomal RNA". It matches the Rfam family "Bacterial small subunit ribosomal RNA", at positions 524 to 776 of the family's 1533-position model. The record is from RNAcentral.